This 20-nucleotide microRNA is filed under the name Mus musculus (house mouse). Its description in RNAcentral is "mmu-miR-5125". Lineage: Eukaryota; Metazoa; Chordata; Mammalia; Rodentia; Muridae. The record is from miRBase by way of RNAcentral.
UCUGCCUGGGAUUUCCUUGU